GAUGAACGCUGGCUACAGGCUUAACACAUGCAAGUCGAGGGGAAACGCCGGGGAAGCUUGCUUCCCCGGGCGUCGACCGGCGCACGGGUGAGUAACGCGUAUCCAACCUGCCUCUGACUGAGGGAUAACCCGUCGAAAGUCGGCCUAAUACCUCAUGGCAUCGUCUGCGGGCAUCCAACGACGAUUAAAGAUUUCAUCGGUCAGGGAUGGGGAUGCGUCUGAUUAGCUUGUUGGCGGGGUAACGGCCCACCAAGGCUACGAUCAGUAGGGGUUCUGAGAGGAAGGUCCCCCACAUUGGAACUGAGACACGGUCCAAACUCCUACGGGAGGCAGCAGUGAGGAAUAUUGGGCAAUGGGCGGGAGCCUGAACCAGCCAAGUAGCGUGCAGGAUGACGGCCCUAUGGGUUGUAAACUGCUUUUAUGCGGGGAUAAAGUGAGGGACGUGUCCUUCAUUGCAGGUACCGCAUGAAUAAGGACCGGCUAAUUCCGUG
This 491-nucleotide ribosomal RNA is filed under the name uncultured bacterium. RNAcentral's name for it is "partial 16S ribosomal RNA". It matches the Rfam family "Bacterial small subunit ribosomal RNA", at positions 28 to 507 of the family's 1533-position model. The record is from RNAcentral.